Molecule: ribosomal RNA, 435 nt
Filed under: uncultured Oscillospiraceae bacterium
Lineage: Bacteria; Bacillati; Bacillota; Clostridia; Eubacteriales; Oscillospiraceae
Description: bacterial SSU rRNA
Rfam family: Bacterial small subunit ribosomal RNA
Source: RNAcentral
ACGGGAGGCAGCAGUCGGGAAUAUUGCGCAAUGGAGGAAACUCUGACGCAGUGACGCCGCGUAUAGGAAGAAGGUUUUCGGAUUGUAAACUAUUGUCGAUGGGGAAGAGAAAGGACAGUACCCAUCAAGAAAGCUCCGGCUAACUACGUGCCAGCAGCCGCGGUAAUACGUAGGGAGCAAGCGUUAUCCGGAAUUAUUGGGUGUAAAGGGUGCGUAGACGGGAUAGCAAGUUAGUUGUGAAAUACUCUGGCUCAACUGGAGAAUUGCAACUAAAACUAUUAUUCUUGAGUGCAGGAGAGGAAAGUGGAAUUCCUAGUGUAGCGGUGAAAUGCGUAGAUAUUAGGAAGAACAUCGGUGGCGAAGGCGACUUUCUGGACUGUAACUGACGUUGAGGCACGAAAGUGUGGGGAGCAAACAGGAUUAGAUACCCUGGUA